GGCCUGCGCCCAAUCAACUUAAUCUGUUUCAAUGUUCCAAUAUCUGCAAAGCUAGGGGGAAUCUCCUCAAGCCUGUGACACAUUUUUAUAACAAGCUUUUCAAGCAUAGGAAAAGAUUCCUCUGAGUCAUCCAACCUUGAGAUACCUAACCGCACCAGUUUCAACAACUUAAGUUUAUUGAACUUAAUAUCUUUGAGGCACCACUCUUUCGAAUCAAUUCCAUAAUCCUCUAAUUUAAGAUACUCUAGAUUUGGUAGUCCCGCAAUUAAAGGAGCUGCGCUUACUAUAUUAGGACCUGUAAAUAUCUUUGAGGCACCACUCUUCCGAAUCAAUUCCAUAAUCCUCUAAUUUAAGAUACUCUAGAUUUGGUAGUCCCGCAAUUAAAGGAGCUGCGCUUACUAUAUUAGGACCUGUAAGUUUCAACUUCUUUAGAUUUGAAGGUAAGUGUAACUCAGUCAUACUAAAAUCUUUAAAGGAAAUGUCAAGUAAUUGCAGCCGAGUAAGACUCUCUAGUUUGGGACUGAAAGUACAACUCCCUCUAAAGAUAACGAG
Molecule: long non-coding RNA, 552 nt
Filed under: Nicotiana benthamiana
Lineage: Eukaryota; Viridiplantae; Streptophyta; Magnoliopsida; Solanales; Solanaceae
Description: long non-coding RNA (NBEN_LNC020339)
Source: RNAcentral